Molecule: ribosomal RNA, 505 nt
Filed under: uncultured bacterium
Lineage: Bacteria
Description: partial 16S ribosomal RNA
Rfam family: Bacterial small subunit ribosomal RNA
Source: RNAcentral
GACGAACGCUGGCGGCGUGCCUAAUACAUGCAAGUAGAACGCACAGUUUAUACCGUAGCUUGCUACACCAUAGAUUGUGAGUUGCGAACGGGUGAGUAACGCGUAGGUAACCUGCCUGGUAGCGGGGGAUAACUAUUGGAAACGAUAGCUAAUACCGCAUAAUAUUAAUUAUUGCAUGAUAAUUAAUUGAAAGGUGCAAUUGCACCACUACCAGAUGGACCUGCGUUGUAUUAGCUAGUAGGUGAGGUAACGGCUCACCUAGGCGACGAUACAUAGCCGACCUGAGAGGGUGAUCGGCCACACUGGGACUGAGACACGGCCCAGACUCCUACGGGAGGCAGCAGUAGGGAAUCUUCGGCAAUGGACGAAAGUCUGACCGAGCAACGCCGCGUGAGUGAAGAAGGUUUUCGGAUCGUAAAGCUCUGUUGUAAGAGAAGAACGGGUGUGAGAGUGGAAAGUUCACACUGUGACGGUAUCUUACCAGAAAGGGACGGCUAACUACGUG